GAAUAUAAAAUUAUUUGUGCGGAGUAGAGGAUAUAGUUCUCGAAAAGGUUAGCUAGGUGACGGUUAGAAUUAAUAUUAGGGUAACCUGUGUUUUAAACGAAACUGCACGAAUAUCUUUCCAACUUUUGAUACGAUUUUGCACACCGCCGUCGGAAGAUUUAUUUUAAUGAAUUUGUCUUACUAUUAAAAUAUAAGUCAGGUCAAGGUGCAGACUAAAAGUUGGUCAACAUGUGUUGUUAUAAUCAUUUUACAAAUAUAGAUUGAAAUAUUUAUAUUUAGUAACUUAUAAGUAAAUAAAUUUAAUCAAAAUUCAUUGAAUAAUUUAAUUUUAAUGU
RNAcentral lists this ribosomal RNA (335 nucleotides) under Docophoroides niethamerri. RNAcentral describes it as "partial 12S ribosomal RNA". Lineage: Eukaryota; Metazoa; Arthropoda; Insecta; Psocodea; Philopteridae. The record is from RNAcentral.